UACGGAGGGUGCGAGCGUUGUCCGGAAUCACUGGGCGUAAAGGGCGCGUAGGCGGUGGGGUAAGCGUGUGGUGAAAGUCCGGGGCUCAACCCCGGAUCGGCCGUGCGAACUGCUUCACUUGAGCACUGUAGAGGCAGGUGGAAUUCCGGGUGUAGCGGUGGAAUGCGUAGAGAUCCGGAAGAACACCGGUGGCGAAGGCGGCCUGCUGGGCAGUGGCUGACGCUGAGGCGCGACAGCGUGGGGAGCAAACAGGAUUAGAUACCCUGUAGUCC
Molecule: ribosomal RNA, 272 nt
Filed under: uncultured prokaryote
Description: partial 16S ribosomal RNA
Rfam family: Bacterial small subunit ribosomal RNA
Source: RNAcentral